This 564-nucleotide ribosomal RNA is filed under the name Somion formosanum. RNAcentral describes it as "eukaryotic LSU rRNA". It matches the Rfam family "Eukaryotic large subunit ribosomal RNA", at positions 71 to 615 of the family's 3401-position model. Lineage: Eukaryota; Fungi; Basidiomycota; Agaricomycetes; Polyporales; Cerrenaceae. The record is from RNAcentral.
AGGAUUCCCCUAGUAACUGCGAGUGAAGCGGGAAAAGCUCAAAUUUAAAAUCUGGCAGCCUUUGGUUGUCCGAGUUGUAGUCUGGAGAAGCGUCUUCCGCGCUGGACCGUGUACAAGUCCCUUGGAAUAGGGCGUCAUAGAGGGUGAGAAUCCCGUCUUUGACACGGACUCCCAGUGCUUUGUGAUGCGCUCUCAAAGAGUCGAGUUGUUUGGGAAUGCAGCUCAAAAUGGGUGGUAAAUUCCAUCUAAAGCUAAAUAUUGGCGAGAGACCGAUAGCGAACAAGUACCGUGAGGGAAAGAUGAAAAGCACUUUGGAAAGAGAGUUAAACAGUACGUGAAAUUGCUGAAAGGGAAACGCUUGAAGUCAGUCGCGUCAUGCAGAACUCAGCCUGGCUUUUGCUCGGUGUAUUUUCUGCAUGACGGGCCAGCAUCAGUUUUGGUCGCUGGAAAAAGUCUUCAGGAAUGUGGCACCUUCGGGUGUGUUAUAGCCUGGAGUCGUAUACAGCGGCUGGGACUGAGGAUCGCAGCGCGCCUUUAUGGCUGGGGUUCGCCCACAUUCGCGCU